CGGAGGGAAUGAGGUUGGUGGCAGCAGAGCUCUUCCUAACAGCACAAAGCACCUCAUACGUGCUGGCCUUGCACUGGUCCCUCUGCAUCCGUUGGUUCCUUUGGUUCUUUCAACAGCCCUGAAAGGCAGGUAGAACGAUCCCCCUGUCACAGAUGGGACAACUGAGCCUCAGAGAGGUAAAGGGACUUCCCCAAGGUUACACAGCUGGUAGGAGUGAGUGUGGAACUCAACCCAAGCCUACACUUUUCUGCCCAUGAAAACCGCAGAUUUCUCCUCUGCAGUUACAAGUUGGGGUCGGCAAACACUCGCGAAGCUAAGCUACCUCUCCGCCUGAAAACUAGAAUCACAGAGGGUCAGAGCUGGACGGGCCUUAAUCCCCUCCCUAUACAGGGAGCACCUGCUGUGUGCUAUGCUCUAGCAAAGGAAGAGGGCCAUCUGGUCCCUCCUACAGGGCGAACCGGGAAGGAGGAGGUGAGGACCCCAUGAAGCGGGACUGCUUAGAAAGCUUAACACGUACGUUAAUUCUCCUAUUACGAGAACAACACGAACACCUUAAAGCGAAUUUGGAGAGAAGUGCAGACAUCUCUUGGGCCUCCCUCCUCUGAUACUGUCUGCAUCUUCGCUUUGUAUCCUCCCGCUUUCCCUGCCCAGGUUUUCUUCCCCAGAGUAGCCAUCAGGCUGUUCAGACAGGAUUUUUUUUGUUCUUGUUUCCGAAAUGGAAACUGAGCAUGUCAGAGCAGCCAGGGCGGUUUGCACAGUACGGGCGGCAGGUGUGACCAGGCUCCGGGGUGGGGGGGGGGCGAGCCCAGACCAGGAGCCCUGCUUUGGUGGGCAUCCCAUGCCUCCCGCAGGUGCUAGCAAGACCCACACGAUGCUGCCAUGGAUGCGGGGCCCGGCAGCUACCUGCAGAUGCUCACUGACCUCUUCCAGGCCAUCGAGGAGACCCAUGAGAGCACGGACUGCAGCGCGCCCAUGUCUUACCUUGAGAUUUAUAACGAAGUGAUCUGGGACCUCCUGAACCCGUCCUCAGGGUUUCUGGACCUGCGGAAAGAUUCUAGGGGCAGCAUCCAGACUGCAGGCAUCACGGAGGUCUCCACCACAAACAC
Molecule: long non-coding RNA, 1106 nt
Organism: Orcinus orca (killer whale)
Lineage: Eukaryota; Metazoa; Chordata; Mammalia; Artiodactyla; Delphinidae
Exons: 3
Source: RefSeq, a predicted model, not a curated record